AUAUAUAUAUAUAUAUAUAUAUAUAGAUAUAUAUAUAUAUAUAUAUAUAUAUAUAUAUAUAUAUAUAUAUAUAUAUAUAUAUAUAUGAUAUAUAUAUAUAUAUUAUAUAUAUAUGAGUACAUCAAGGAUAAGGCCCCGACAGAUGACGUGCUGAGUGAAUGUCUCAGGCAGUGGAGAACAGAGGAUGAGAUGCUGGAAGAGGGACCAUCAUGGGAGGACAAGCCCUUGCACGGGAUGUACCACCGGAACAUAACUGAAGUGGCUGAUCUCAACAAAUCCUACCAAUGGCUUGAAAGGGCUGGGCUGAAGGACAGCACAGAGGCACUCAUCCUGGCUGCACAGGAGCAGGCCCUGAGCCCUAGAGCCAUAGAAGCCCAGAUCUACCACACCAGACAAGACCCAAGGUGUAGACUGUGCAAAGAGGCCCCAGAGACGGUCCAGCACAUAACUGCAGGGUGUAAGAUGCUGGCAGGCAAAGCAUACAUGGAACGCCAUAACCAAGUGGCUGGCAUAGUAUACAGGAACAUCUGCGCGGAGUAUGGACUGGAAACCCCAAGGUCAAAGUGGGAAACACCUCCCAAGGUGGUAGAGAACGAGCGAGCCAAGAUCCUGUGGGACUUCCAGAUCCAGACUGACAGAAUGGUAAUGGCGAACCAACCAGACAUUGUGGUGGUGGACAAAGAGCAGAGGAAAGCUGUAGUGGUGGAUGUGGCAAUACCAAGCGAUGGCAACAUCAGGAAAAAGGAACAUGAGAAACUAGAGAAAUACCAAGGGCUCAGAGAAGAACUGGAGAAGGCUUGGAAGGUGAAGGCCACAGUGGUGCCUGUGGUGAUCGGAGCACUGGGGGCUGCGACCCCCAAAUUGGAGGAGUGGCUACAACAGAUCCCUGGAAAAACAUCCGACAUCUCAGUCCAGAAAAGUGCAGUCCUAGGAACAGCAAGGAUACUGUGCAGAACCCUCAAGCUCCCUGGCCUCUGGUAGAGGACCCGAGCUUGGAAAGUGGAUGAGACCACCCGCAGAGGGUGAGAAUAGAGAGAGAGAGAGUAUAUAUAUAUACACACUCCAUUCUCACCCUCCUUAUAUAUAUAUAUAUAUAUAUAUAUAUAUAUAUAUAUAUAUAUAUAUAUAUAUAUAUAUAUAUAUAUAUAUAUAUAGUACAUUUUUAC
Long non-coding RNA from Betta splendens (Siamese fighting fish), 1166 nucleotides. NCBI's taxonomy places the organism in Eukaryota, Metazoa, Chordata, Actinopteri, Anabantiformes, Osphronemidae. The record is from Ensembl.